CCGCACUUGCCUUCGGGUUUAUGGAGCAUCGGGAAGUGCCAGCGCUCCUGUUCUCUCUCCUCUGCUGUCUGUCCCCUCUGGACAUCACUCAGGCCCUGGGUCAGAUGUGAAUGGCCAGAGUGCGCCCCGUCUCCCUCUCACAUGUGUGUGUCUGUGCAUGUUUGCAUGCUCAUGUGUGCGUGCGCGCGCAUUCUUGUGUGCAUCUGUUUAUGUGCGCACGGGUGCUCAGGUGCGCGCUUCUGCGAUCUGUCCUCUCGGGGGCCGGGCAUCUCCGUCCUAGUGCACUUUGACCUCUAAGCCGUACUCUAGUUUGCUCUUCAUCCGCGUCAGGGUUCAUCUGAGACCUGUGACUCCUCUGCUGAAGGCUCACUGCGAAGAUCAGGAAAAAGGACUAGGAGUUCAGAGAGCAGCCUCUGCACCGCUGCCGGCAGAAAGGGGCACAGAGCUCAGGGCUCCUGGGAGCUCGGGCUAUGCCGUAGUUUCUGUGUCCGCAUGGCCUCUGGUCAUAACCACACGCCUUUGGAACGUCCUCCCAGAAACCACAGAUUCACUUGGAUUCAGCUGUGGAUCUGGCUCCAAACAGGCACUAUGGGGGAACCACAAGGCAGUGAGCUUCUCUAGCUUCAUCCUUCCUUGGCUGAAGGUUGGGGAUGAAACCACUGAAGGUCUCCAUAGAAAACGUGGAAAAUUCUGGCCCCUAGCUGGGGUCUUCUAUCCCCGUCGGAGCCAACAAAUUUGUUGGAUAACAAAUUGGCAUCCAUCUCCAACGUGGGCUGGACAUUUCUCACCUAGUUUUGUGGCAUCACCUGUCCUACGGCUGCUUCCCGUGGGCAGAGCCUGUUGUAGGUGCGGCCAGCAGCACUUGAGCCUGUGUGGGAGUCACGGGCCCCAACCAUGCUGGCAUCUCUGCUUCUCACGCCCCUCCCUAAAUGGAGAAAAUAGAAUACCUGUCUCUUAGUAUUCGGAGAUUACAGUAGACCCCAUCUGUGAAGUGUGGUGCCUGGACACGGUGAACCAGCAACAUAAGCGCUGGAGCCACAGCCAUGACCACAAGCUGGAAAGAAGCAUUGCGUGGGUGGAGCAGGAAGUGUCUAGGUUGCACAUGGGGGUCACUGGUAGACAAUGAGCUGGCUGCUGUGGUCCAGGCUGGCCUGGAAGCGGGGAGCAUUAGCAGUCAAAAAUUUUGAAAAAAAGAAGAACACGAAAUGAUUCUAUAAGCUGGAAAGCAGGUGGAUGGGUAUGAACGGAGGAGAAAGGACAGAAGAGUCCAGCCCGGGACAUCGCCAGAGGGAGGCUCAGGCUGCUGGUACCUCCCUCAACCAGAGGGGCACAGGCUGCGAGCUGGCAGGUCAGGAGGUGGGGGAGGGGAAGGCUGAAAAGUGCAGGACUCAUUGGAAAUCUGCUUAUGAAGUAGCUCAGUCUGGCCAUUCCCCACCCCAAGGCACAGAACAACGACAACCUCAGGCCACAAAAUGGGCUUUUAUUUAGAGACAUUGAACAAGCUUUCUGAUGUGCAAGAAUUAACUCUAAAGCUAUGCUUCUCAAAAUACGUUCCCUACUAGCAGCAUCAACAUCACCUGGGAACUUGUUAGAAAUGCAGGUUCCAAGGUCCACCCCAUACCUGCUGAAUCAGAAGCUCUCAGCCUUGCGGCCCACUGGUUGUAUUUUAACCAGCCUCCUCCCACCCCACCCCCUCUAGGAGAUGAAGGCCACACACUGUAGGCUGAGGAUCCCUGAUCUAGAACAGAGCUCUUCAUUCUUGGCUGCAUAUUGGAAUCACUUUAGAAAAUGCUGAUGCCUGGGGCCCCACCCCCUAAAAAGAUUCUGACUUCAUGGGUUUUGCACAUUGCCCAGGCAUCAGGAUUUUUAAGACAUCCACCAGCCAGGACAGAGAACCACUCCAUUAAGGCCUUCCUGUUUCACACGCAUCAGCCGUCAGCCCAAUUGCUUAGGCCUGAAGCUUCUCAGCCAGAAGCCCUGUCCACUUAGAUCUCACUGUCACCCUCCUCAGCUAAAGGAGAGGACUAGUGGAGUCCAGACUGACCGCAGCCACAGGGGAAUCACGUACCAAGCACCCAGGACCACUGGUCUGGAGCUCUGCUCUCAAACAUGAAAGGAGGUAUAAUGGUCCCAGGCACAUAAGAGAGACCCGCCAUGUGAAUGAGAAAUAGGAAGAUAAGCAAGCCAGCCAGCCCUAUAGGAAAAGAAACAACGCAGGGAUCACAAGAUAAUUCCUAAAAAUUCUCAUAUCCUCAAAGGGAUAUGAGAAGUUAUUAAGUCUGUGAAACAAAAACCAAUGCUAUGAAAAGGAAAUAAUUACAUAAUCAAGAAGAAAUUUUAAAAAUUAAAAAUGCAAUCUUUUAAACAAAACUUUCAAUAAAAGAAAAACUGGGAUGCUUCCCAGAAAAUAGGAUAGAAAUGAGAAAAAAAACUGAAAACAUGAGAGAGAUGGGGAAAAAAGACAAAUAGCAAUUCAAACCAGGAUCUCCAACGUCUGCCUAUUACAGUCCCAGAACAAGCAGAGAACAGGGAGGGGAAAGAAGCAAUCUCAGAUGGACUGAAGGGUAUCUUCUCUGAGGUAGGAGCUGUAAGUUGUCAGACCGAGGACACCUAUAAGGGUCACUCGGGGUGGAUAAUGAAAUGUCCACACCCAGACACAGCCUCAUGAAUCUGAGAACAUGAAGGAUGAAAGGCAGGUGCUGCAAGCAUUCAGGGAGAAAAUAAACAAAUACAAGCGGACUGCCUGUAAAGAAAUAAAGCCCAGACCUCCUCAGGGAGGUUGCGUUCUAGAAGACAAAGGCCUUCCAAGGCUUAAGAGGAAAUAUCUUGAAUGUAGAAUUCUGUACCUGCUGAAACAAUUCUCAAAAGGAUUUGGACUAACAAAAGCAGUUUGAAAACUUGUAGAAAUUCUACAAGCUUUUCUUGUGGAGUUUCCUGAGGAAGUACUCCAGCAAAACAAGGAGGAAAAUCAAGAAGGAAGGAUCCAAGAAACAGGCUCUUGGUGAAGGGAAGUCCUCAGAGGACAUGGAUGCAGCAACCUGGGGGACCCCUGGUCAGGAGGGUCUGCAGGCCAGAAAUCCCAGUUGUAUUGGAUCAGGACCCACCGUCAUUCAGCAUGACCUCACUUGAACUUGAUCAUGUCUGCAAAGACCUUGUUUCCCAAUAAAGGACACAUUUACAGUGAUUUUUUUUCUAAGGGGAGGUUUACUUAUCCCUCACUGAUGGUGUUGAAGAAAAAUGGGGCAGGAGAGGAUGACUGUGUACUGCUCUCUGGCUCUGCCAGCUUUAGGUCAAGUCGCCCACUGCCUUUUAGCGGCCGUACCCUACCCCUUCCAUAUUGUUUCACUGGAAGUUGAGGAGCAGUUAGGAGACACACUGUGUAGAGCCAGCGGCCACCUGGGGCCCAUGUGAAGGCGGACGGCACCCAGGCGUGGGGCUGCCAGAGACACCCUCAGGACCUAGCUGAGGAGGAGCCAGGACCGCCCGCCUCUGGAGCCCCCGCGAACCCGUGAGACUAGGGAAAUGAUGUUAAAUGAAAAGCGAAUUUGAGUGAGUUUCCUAUUCGAGUUCAGAAUGGGUCAUAAAGCAGUAGAGCAACUUGCAACAUCAACAGCGCAUUUGGCCCAGGAACUGCUAAUGAAUGUUACAGUGCAGUGGUGGUUCAAGAAGUUUUGCAAAGGAGAUGAGACCCUUGAAGAUGAGAAGCACAGUGGCUGGCCAUCGAAAGUUGACAAUGACUAAUUGAGAGUUAUCAUCAAAGCUAAUCCUCUUAUAACUACAUGAGAAGUUGCCAAAGAACUCAACAUUGACUAUUCUACAGUAAUUUGGCAUUUGAAGUAAAGUGGGUGCCCCGCGAGCUGACUGCAAAUCAGAAAAAUUGUUUUGAAGUGUGGUCUUCUCUCAUUCUAUUCAACAGCAAACAAACCAUUUCUCUUUGGAUUGUGACAUGCAACAAAAAGUGGAUUUUAUAUGAUAACCACUGAUGACCCCUCAGUGACUGAACCUAGAAAAGCACUUCCCAAACUUGCACCAAAAAAAGGUCAUGGUCACUGUUUGUUGGUCUGCUGCCCAUCUCAUCCACUACAACUUUCUGAACCCAGGUGAAACCAUUACAUCUGAGAAGUAUGCUCAGCAAAUCGACCAGAUGCACCCAAAAUUGUCAUACCUGCAUCUGGCAUUGGUCAACAGAAUAGGCCCAGUUCUUCACCAUGACAAUGUCUGACCACACAUUGCACAAUCAACACUUAAACAUUGAACGAACUGGGCUACAAAGCUUUGCCUCAUCUGCCAUUCUCACCUGACUUCUCACUAGCGGACUAGCAUUUCUUCAAGCAUCUUGUCAACUUUUUGCAGGGAAGAUGCUUCCACAACCAGCAGGAUGCAUAAAAUGGUUUCCAAGAGUUUGUUGAAUCCUAAAGCAUAGAUUUUUAACCUUCAGGGAUAAACAAACUUAUUUCUCGUUGGCAAAAAUGUGUUGAUUGUAGUGGUUCCUAUUUUGAUUAAUAAAGAUGUGUUUGAGUAUGGAUAUAAUUAUUUAAAAUUCACGGUCCAAAACCAAAAUUACGUUUGCACCAAUCUAAUAGUAUCUUCAGAGAAAUUUGGGUGAGAUUUUGCAUCCACAAAAUCAGAACUGGUUGCUAUGAAAAGAGAAUCAGAAGCAGUGGUUUUUGUUUGUUUGGUUUCUGGCUUAGAGCAGCAGCAGCAGUCCUAGAGGCUGGAAAUCAGGUGUUGGCAGGGCUGUGUUCCUUCUGAGGGCUCUAGGGGAGAAUCAUGAGGCUUUUGGAAGCUAAGCAUUCGGACAGAGGGCUGAGAGACAAAGCUGAGGAGACCAUUUGGAUGUGAAACACAGGGACGAAGAGAUUUAAAAUAUAAGAGAAAACAUAAGGGACCUAUAGCAUUACUCCAAGAGAGCCCCACCCAGGCUAUCCAUUUUUAGACAGAAGAUGGAGAGAAAAAUAUUACCAAAAAAAAAAAAAAAGCAAACUUUUUGUUCUUUCUUUUAAAAAUUUUAUUAAAAUAUAGUAGAUUUAUAAUGACUAACAAAUUUUUAGAUUUGUUAGUCGCAAGUAUGUAGUAAUUUAGUUAUAUGUAUAAACUAUAUAGCUAUAUAUUCCUUUUUCUACAUUCUCUUCCAUUGUAGGUUAUUACAAGAUAUUGAGUGAGUAUAGUUCCCUGUGGUAUACAGUCAGUCCUUGUUAUGUAUUUCAUAUAUUUGUAGUUGUUGUUUAGUUGCUAAUUCAUGUCUGACUCUUUUGCGACCCCAUGGACUGUAGCCUGCCAGGCACCUUUGUCCGUGGGAUUUCCCAGGCAAGAAUACUGGAGUGGGUGGCCAUUUCCUUCUCCGGGGGAUGGUCACAACCCAGUGGUUGAACUCACAUGUUCUGCAUCUGCAUUGGCAGGUGAAUUCUUUACCACUGAGCCACCCGGGAAAGCCCGCAUUUAUAUAUAGUAGUGUGUAUGUUUUAAUCCCCAGCUCCUAAUUUAUCCCUCUCCCCCAUCUCCUUUGUUUUCUAUAUCUGUGAAUCUGUUUCUGUUUUGUAAAUAAGUUAAUUUACAUCCUUUUUAAAUUGCACCUACAGCUUAUAUCAUAUGUUAAUUUGUCUUUCUCUGUUUGACUUGCUUCACUUGGUGUGAUAAUCUUGCAUGUUGCUGCAAGUGGCAUAAUUUCGUUCUUUUUUAUGGCUGAGUAAUAUUCUGUUGUAUCUAUGUACCACAUCUUCUUUAUCCACUUAUCUGUUGAUGGACAUUAAAAUGGUUUCCAUGUUUUAAGUACUGUAAACAGAGCUGCAGUGAACUUUGGGGUGUAUGUACCUUUUCAAAUUAUGGUAUUCUCCAGAUAUAUAUGCCCAGGAGGGAGAUUGAAAGAUCAUAUAGUAGCUCUAUUUUUAGUUUUUUAAGGAACCUCCAUACUGUUCUCCAUACUGACUUUACCAAUUUAUAUUCCCACUGACAGUCUAGGAGGGUUCUCUUUUCUCCACACUGUACCUACCAUUUACUAUUUGUAGACUUUUUUGUGAUGGCCAUUCUGAUCAGUGUGUGUGAGAUAAUACCUUAUUGUAGUUUUGGUUUCCAUUUUCUAAUAAGUAAAAAAUUGAACAUCUUUUCAUGUGCUUUUUGGCCAUCUGUAUGUCUUCUUUGGAAAAAUGUCUUUUUAGAGCCUCUGCCUAUUUCUUUUUUUAUUGGGUUUGUUAUUUUUUUAUGUAUAUCCUGCAAAUUUACCAAAUUCAUUGAUGAGCUCUAGUAGUUCUCUGGUAGUGUUUUUAGGAUUUUCUAUGCAUAGUAUCCAUGAAAUUAAAAGACACUUACUCCUUGGAAGAAAAGUUAUGACCAACCUAGAGAGCAUAUUGAAAAGCAGAGACAUUACUUUGCCAACAAAGGUCUGUCUAGUCAAGGCUAUGGUUUUUCCUGUGGUCAUGUAUGGAUGUGAGGGUUGAACUGUGAAGAAAGCUGAGCGCUGAAGAAUUGAUGCUUUUGAACUGUGGUGUUGGAGAAGACUCUUGAGAGUCCCUUGGACUGCAAGGAGAUCCAAGCAGUCCAUUCUGAAGGAGAUCAGCCCUGGGAUUUCUUUGGAAGGAAUGAUGCUAAAGCUGAGACUCCAGUACUUUGGCCACCUCAUGCGAAGAGUUGACUCACUGGAAAAGACUCUGAUGCUGGGAGGGAUUGGGGGCAAGAGGAGAAGGGGACGACAGAGGAUGAGAUGGCUGGAUGGCAUCACCGACUCGAUGGACGUGAGUCUGAGUGAACUCCGGGAGUUGGUGAUGGACAGGGAGGCCUGGUGUGCUGCGAUUCAUGGGGUCGCAGAGUUGGACACGACUGAGCGACUGAACUGAACUGAACUGAACUGAUGCAUAGUAUCAUGUCAUCUGCAGACAGUGACAGUUUUAUUUAUUCUUUUUGAAUUUG
Bos taurus (domestic cattle) is the source of this 6903-nucleotide long non-coding RNA. NCBI's taxonomy places the organism in Eukaryota, Metazoa, Chordata, Mammalia, Artiodactyla, Bovidae. The record is from Ensembl.